This is an RNA transcript of Diceros bicornis minor, 1629 nucleotides long. It is a transcript of the gene named HLA class II histocompatibility antigen, DO beta chain-like, with no coding region annotated. The transcript has 5 exons. The record is from RefSeq and is a predicted model, not a curated record. NCBI's taxonomy places the organism in Eukaryota, Metazoa, Chordata, Mammalia, Perissodactyla, Rhinocerotidae.
UAUCUAUGUUCUUAAUGAAUAUUUUUGACUGAGUUGUGUGGGGGCAUGCCCCAUUCUGAAGAGGCUGACGAUUUUACUGUCUCUCUUUUUUUUUGCUUCCAGAAUGGCUUCUGGGUGGGUUCUCUGGGUGGUGGCUCUGUUAGUGAAUCUAAUCAGGCUGGAUUCCUCCAUGACUCAAGGAAGAGACUCUCCAGAAGAUUUUGUGAGUCAGGCAAAGGCUGACUGUUACUUCACCAAUGGGACAGAAAAGGUGCAGUUUGUGGUCAGAUUCAUCUUUAACUUGGAGGAGUAUGCACGUUUCGACAGCGAUGUGGGAAUGUUUGUGGCAUUGACAGAGCUCGGGCAGCCUGAUGCUGAGCUGUGGAACAACCGGCCAGAUAUAUUGGCGAGGAGUAGAGCUGCUGUGGAUAUGCUCUGCAGACACAAUUACAAGCUGGGUGCACCCUUCACUGUGGGAAGAAGAGUGCAACCCAAGGUGACAGUGUAUCCAGAGAUGACCCCAUCCCUGCAGCACCACAAUCUGCUGCUCUGCUCUGUGACAGAUUUCUAUCCUGGGGACAUCAAGAUCAGGUGGUUCCGGAAUGGGCUGGAGGAGAGAGCAGGGAUCAUGUCCACUGGCCUUAUCAGGAAUGGAGACUGGACCUUUCAGACAAUGGUGAUGCUGGAAAUGACUCCUGAACUUGGAGAUGUCUACACCUGCCUUGUUGAUCAUCCCAGCCUGCUGAGCCCUGUUUCUGUGGAGUGGAGAGCUCAGUCUGAAUAUUCUUGGAGAAAGAUGCUAAGUGGAGUUGCAGCCUUCCUGCUUGGGCUCAUCUUCCUCCUGGUGGGGAUCGUCACCCACCUCAGGGCUCAGAAAGGUAAUGAGCCUCUGAGGAGUCCCCUGCCACCUGCCCCAUGGCUUCCCCCACUUCCCACUUUUCCUAACGUCAAAGACGUGAGGCAGGGAAGGCUGAUUGUACUUCUCAGGGAUGUCUGGAAUAGUCUUUUCUGAAGCCAGAACCAUUCCAGGGGGUAAGGGGAGAUGGAGCUCUGAUACUGCAGGUCAUCUCCCAGCCCUCAGGAUAAUGACAUCUGGUCCUAAUUGGCGCAUUCUAUUUCUUUCUUCUCUUUCAUUCCAGGAUAUAUGGACAGUCAGUUGUCUGGUAAGGAGGUCUCAAGAGCUGUUCUCUCACCACAGCCAUAUUAAGGUCUUAACUGAAGCUUCUCCCCCUGGAGCCUGAAGUACCACUGAGUGGCCUGGGCCGCAGACUAAGUAAAGGACAUUCGUGAAGUCAACGUUCUGGAGUGACUCUUUUCCAUGAGGCCUUGGAGGAGUCCUGAACUGAUUCUUGAGUUUGUGUUCUGAGAUCAUGCAUCUCUGACCCUUCUGCCCUUCUUCCUCCUACUUGAAUAUGUUUUUAGUCCCCAUUCCCAAGGACUGAAAUUCCCCUAAGACCUGACUCCUUCCAGUUCCAAACUGGUUACUUUUUCUAUGGUCCAGCCCUAACCCUGUACGUAGUCAUCUCGUCUUUCUCUCUUCCUACUGCGUCUCCACAGUCUUAAGAAGACAAAUGCUCAGAUAGUCACUGUUUCCUUUUCACUGUUUUUGAAAACCUUUUUUAUUGCAAAAUAAAACUGAGAUACAUUGUG